Molecule: microRNA precursor, 83 nt
Filed under: Tursiops truncatus (common bottlenose dolphin)
Lineage: Eukaryota; Metazoa; Chordata; Mammalia; Artiodactyla; Delphinidae
Description: miRNA (ENSTTRG00000024959.1)
Source: RNAcentral
UAGAGUGACCAACUGUCCUGGUUUGCCUGGGACUGAGAGGCUUCUGAGGACAUGGAACUUUCAGUGUUAAAACCAGGGCAGUC